This 492-nucleotide ribosomal RNA is filed under the name uncultured bacterium. RNAcentral describes it as "partial 16S ribosomal RNA". It matches the Rfam family "Bacterial small subunit ribosomal RNA", at positions 29 to 507 of the family's 1533-position model. The record is from RNAcentral.
AGUGAGCGCUGGCGGUAGGCCUAACACAUGCAAGUCGAACGGCAGCACAGUAGGAGCUUGCUCUUACGGGUGGCGAGUGGCGGACGGGUGAGGAAUACAUCGGAAUCUACUUUUUCGUGGGGGAUAACGUAGGGAAACUUACGCUAAUACCGCAUACGACCUACGGGUGAAAGCAGGGGAUCUUCGGACCUUGCGCGAUUGAAUGAGCCGAUGUCGGAUUAGCUAGUUGGCGGGGUAAAGGCCCACCAAGGCGACGAUCCGUAGCUGGUCUGAGAGGAUGAUCAGCCACACUGGAACUGAGACACGGUCCAGACUCCUACGGGAGGCAGCAGUGGGGAAUAUUGGACAAUGGGCGCAAGCCUGAUCCAGCCAUACCGCGUGGGUGAAGAAGGCCUUCGGGUUGUAAAGCCCUUUUGUUGGGAAAGAAAAGCAGCAGGUUAAUACCCCGCUGUUCUGACGGUACCCAAAGAAUAAGCACCGGCUAACUUCGUG